AGUAAAAAUAUUAAGAAAAAAACCCACUUAACAGUAAUAAGCAAAAGCACAGCAGCUCUCCAGCUCAGAUGGGCAUGGCCUUUUGUAGGUGGGUUGUAUCUCAUGGGCUGCUCUCUGAGUCCCCACCUUGGUCGAUGCAGGGAGAAGAAUGGCGACCGGCCCCUCAGGCCCCCCUCAGACCUUGUGUUGCCAGCCACUUUUUUGAGUCCAACCUUCUUGUGCCUCAGACAGAUCUAAUUGUUUCUGUUUUUUAAGUUCUGCCCGGUUUCUAAGUCCUUGCCCAUGCACUCAAUAUUGCCACCACAGUUAAUAUCUCCUGUAAGAGUGUGGCUUUGUGGUCUGGAUCGAAUAGGGAGAUUGUGAAGUCAGAGUUCUCCCCUGGCUCCGCCUGAUGUCUGUGAGCUGCUGGGCCCCAGGAAGAACACCCCCGCUGAAGGGACGGAUAUCUCUCUCAGCGCUCAGUGGCCCUCAGUCCUAGGCUAAAUCUCUCCUCUGCAGGGAUUUCCCUGUGAGUGAUUCAGUCUCUAUUUCUCUUCCCCUGGUCUCUCCUGCCUUGCCCGGCGGUGCUGUGAGUGGCUGUGUAGGUCCGUGCGCCUCUGGAUACCCGGCCGCCUUGUGUCAGUGACUGUCUGAAGAACUGUCCGCCUCUGGUCUCAAGGCCACCAUGCCCAUGUGGCUGUCCUCGGAGCUGAUCCUCGAGCCCACGUGUUGUUCAGCGAACUCCUGCCUCUGCUGCACCUAAGGUCAAUUGUCAGAGCUUUGGAACAGCCCCAAGGAAAACCCUCAACAGGACUUCCGGAAAUCCACAGACUAUGCCUGUGGGAUGUUGUCCUGGCCAGGGUCUCGCCAAUCGAUGACCAUGUGAGGGUAAAUUGGCUGAACUUUGGCACAGCACCGAGGCAAACUUUCGAUGGGACAUCCUGAACUCCACAGACUACACCUGCGGGACAUUGUCCUGGCCAGGGUCUCGCCUAUUGCCUACCAUGUGAUGUUUGGAGGCCUAUGUCCGUGCUGGCCCUGGCCACCAUGCCCACCCAUUCUUGUCAAAGCUGAGGUCCAGGACCUA
Molecule: long non-coding RNA, 1066 nt
Organism: Suricata suricatta (meerkat)
Lineage: Eukaryota; Metazoa; Chordata; Mammalia; Carnivora; Herpestidae
Exons: 6
Source: RefSeq, a predicted model, not a curated record